Molecule: ribosomal RNA, 425 nt
Filed under: uncultured bacterium
Lineage: Bacteria
Description: bacterial SSU rRNA
Rfam family: Bacterial small subunit ribosomal RNA
Source: RNAcentral
AGGGAAUCUUCCGCAAUGGACGAAAGUCUGAUGGAGCAAUGCCGCGUGAGCGAAGAAGGUUUUCGGAUCGUAAAGCUCUGUUGUAAGGGAAGAACACGUACGGGAGUAACUGCCCGUACCUUGACGGUACCUUAUUAGAAAGCCACGGCUAACUACGUGCCAGCAGCCGCGGUAAUACGUAGGUGGCAAGCGUUGUCCGGAAUUAUUGGGCGUAAAGCGCGCGCAGGCGGCCUGUUAAGUCUGAUGUGAAAGCCCCCGGCUCAACCGGGGAAGGUCAUUGGAAACUGAUAGGCUUGAGUACAGAAGAGGAAAGCGGAAUUCCACGUGUAGCGGUGAAAUGCGUAGAGAUGUGGAGGAACACCAGUGGCGAAGGCGGCUUUCUGGUCUGUAACUGACGCUGAGGCGCGAAAGCGUGGGGAGCAAAC